Mastomys coucha (southern multimammate mouse) is the source of this 294-nucleotide long non-coding RNA. RefSeq lists it as uncharacterized. Lineage: Eukaryota; Metazoa; Chordata; Mammalia; Rodentia; Muridae. The record is from RefSeq and is a predicted model, not a curated record. The transcript has 3 exons.
GUCAGCCUCUUUCUGAGGUACUGCAGAGACGCUGGCAACCUGACUGAAAAAGAAAGUGACAGUAGUGGUCUUGUUUCUUCCCUUCUCUGGAGAGAUACCUGCCCCUAGUCUGGAGGUCCCAUGCCAACAGAAUUGUAGCUACUGGGAAUGAAACCAAAGGACAGAAAAUAGAGGCUGUAAGACAUGAAACAAACUCCCAGUGGAUUGGCUGUGCUGGAUCCCCACCUCAUUGCUAUGACAGGAUGGCUGAUAUAUAAAAGACUUAAGGUAAGAAAGAUUUAUUUUGGCUCAUGG